GGGGGCGCCGCGCUCCCGCCGUGCGCCGCGCUCUUCCCGGCCGCCCAGCCAGCCCCGAGAGGCCGAUCCGGGCGCGCUGGGGCCCCAGGCGGGGAAGCCGCUCCUACGCCGUGCGGCUCCCGCCCGGCUACAGGUAACAGAGAAGGGAUUUGACUUGCCCCAGGUCACACAGCUGAUACAAGACAAGCUUGCCUUGGAUCAUCCCCUCCAUGGAGAAUAGAAACUCUGGCACAUGCCUGUGUGCUGGGGGGUCGUGCAUUGGUUUAGGACCUGUGGGGAUGGAUUACGAAGUCAGCAGUGCACAGACCUUGGAUCAGUGAGGAGUCCAGCGCUGAUACACGUCCGAGAAACUAGAGGGACUUGAAGAGCAGCCCAGCCCCGGGACCCAACAUUGGAUGCUUCUUAAAAAAACUUACACCAAACCGUGGGAAAGACAGCAGAUUCCACCUUUACCCACUCCUGGUCUGGCUUUGGAUGCACCCUCUUUUGAGGAGCAGCUGAGGUGCACCUAGAAAUCAGGUCAUAUUGAUGGAUGUUACCUGGAAUUCUAUUGCCUCUUUGCCCUGUGCUCUUUUAGGAUGACCCCAACCACUGACAAGUAUUUCUGGAAGUCUGUGAAAGUGCCUCUCACAUGCUUAUAAAUAAAUCUGGUCAUACACAUGGGAUGCUUGCUGUUGUUUCCUCUUCCUGUCC
This is a non-coding RNA of Manis javanica (Malayan pangolin), 693 nucleotides long. The record is from RefSeq and is a predicted model, not a curated record. Lineage: Eukaryota; Metazoa; Chordata; Mammalia; Pholidota; Manidae.